AUGGUCUUCAGCGAUUGCAUGGACAUUGUAACAAGAUCCAUCACUCAUCAUGUGCCCGUAUAUAGAUAUAUACGAUGGGUUUUUUUGAUCACCCGAAACCCCCCGCGUCGCUCCCGCGAGCGACGGGAGGAAACCCUCGCCGCCGCCGGUCCUAGCCCCCUUCCCCUCCUCCUCUCUCCUCGUCGCCGCCGCACUCGCUGGCGGGCAAAGCCCGGCCAGCCGCGACGGCGGCGGGGCCUCCUCUCCUUCCCGAACGGUGGUGGGCGGCGCGGGACGACCUCGCCGGUCGGGGACGCGGUGCUUCGUGGGGUACGCCAGCGCAGGUGGUUGCUGCCCCGGAGUGGUGGGCUACGUGCGGUGGUCGUCGGGGUUGCGCCCGUGGUGGCAGAGGCGGCGGUGCGGGCCUGGCGGCGGCGGAGGCCCGAAUCGAUCUGGAUCUGGGGGCUCUCCUCUGGCUGGCGGCGCGGGGGCUAG
Molecule: ribosomal RNA, 474 nt
Filed under: Triticum aestivum (bread wheat)
Lineage: Eukaryota; Viridiplantae; Streptophyta; Magnoliopsida; Poales; Poaceae
Description: partial small subunit ribosomal RNA
Source: RNAcentral